AACAUACCUGCAAAUGAUGAUGUCAUAAAUUUCGGCAAACACAACUGGCUGCCUAAAUAGAAACAAAGUCUAUUAAGGUUUUAUAGGUAGUGAAUGUGGUAUGAGUUAGGUGAUCUUACUGAUAGUCUAUCAUGAUAUCCCCAAAUGUUUCUGAUGGAUUGAUCAUCUGCAAAGACAAAGAAAAUGUGAAAUACCAAAUAUUUAGUCACUUGGAAUCCUGAAAAUACGUAAAGGACGUUUAACUUUAGCAGGAGGGAGGCUGUUGGAAAAUGGAUAACUACUGACCUCUAACCAUGCAGAAGAUCGUGUUAGCUCAUAAGAUGCAAAGCCUCCAUUGCUGUUCUGAAAGAUCAAUAAGAUUUUCAGAUACUGCACCUGAAGGGAGAGAAUCAACUUGACUGCGUCAUAUAACUGAUCUAUUGCCAUUUCUUCCCCAGCAACAGUAGAAGACAAACGUGAUAACAUGAGUGCUGCCUGCAUGCAAUUUGAAUCAGUGAGAACUGAGAACUUAAAUUAAACAUAUAUCUCAAUUUAAAUUGCCAAGAGGGAAGAGGAGGAAACCUGCAUUUUCAUGCCAUCCUCUGCCAUCCAAAGGUCUGAAAUGUUCUAAUAACAUGUGCACAUCUAUCACACUGGGGUUUUUUGUGAUGGGAGGAGACUACUACCUGAUGAUUAUAUAGAUAUCGCUUAAGCUCACAUUGAUGUUGUUGCGAUAAAACAGUAUCAAGAGCCCUCAUCACUGACAAAGAAAUUAUCUGCAAAGAAAAAAAAGGUCAGAUGUUGUUUAUCAAUUUUUCUUUUAAAUUGAAAUAUCUGCUAAGGACUUGUUUAAUUCAACGUGGCUUGCAAAUAUUUACUUAGUUAUUUUGAG
Impatiens glandulifera is the source of this 871-nucleotide long non-coding RNA. RefSeq lists it as uncharacterized. NCBI's taxonomy places the organism in Eukaryota, Viridiplantae, Streptophyta, Magnoliopsida, Ericales, Balsaminaceae. The transcript is spliced from 4 exons. The record is from RefSeq and is a predicted model, not a curated record.